RNAcentral lists this ribosomal RNA (301 nucleotides) under uncultured bacterium. RNAcentral's name for it is "partial 16S ribosomal RNA". It matches the Rfam family "Bacterial small subunit ribosomal RNA", at positions 510 to 808 of the family's 1533-position model. The record is from RNAcentral.
AGUAGCCGCGGUAAUACGAAGGGUGCAAGCGUUACUCGGAAUUACUGGGCGUAAAGCGUGCGUAGGUGGUGGUUUAAGUCCGUUGUGAAAGCCCUGGGCUCAACUUGGGAAUUGCAGUGGAUACUGGGUCACUAGAGUGUGGUAGAGGAUAGUGGAAUUUCCGGUGUAGCAGUGAAAUGCGUAGAGAUCGGAAGGAACAUCUGUGGCGAAGGCGACUAUCUGGGCCAACACUGACACUGAGGCACGAAAGCGUGGGGAGCAAACAGGAUUAGAUACCCCAGUAGUCCCUGUCUCUUAUACA